AUACUUGGUAAAUUUUUAGAAAUGUAGUUGAAUCUUAGUUUUAGAUAAAUUUUCUUACGCAGUUAUGCACCGUUUGAAUUAAGUUGUUUUCCAUUAGAGAUCGUUUAUAUUUUUAGGAUAAAAGGAAAAAUAGACAAUUUUAUUUCACACGGUUUGAUUGCAGAACAAGUGAGCCAUAUGUGAAUUAGUAACAAUAUUAUAUUAUUGAAGUAUAUUCUUAUAACUAUACGAUUUUCAUGGCAGAGAACCAUCCAUAUACAAAAAAAGACAAGUUUACUAAAUUUUGCUCUGAAAAAUGAAGAAAACGAAAUAUU
This is a non-coding RNA of Cinara cedri, 314 nucleotides long. NCBI's taxonomy places the organism in Eukaryota, Metazoa, Arthropoda, Insecta, Hemiptera, Aphididae. The record is from the annotation of a GenBank genome assembly.